Alexandromys fortis (reed vole) is the source of this 868-nucleotide long non-coding RNA. RefSeq lists it as uncharacterized. Lineage: Eukaryota; Metazoa; Chordata; Mammalia; Rodentia; Cricetidae. The record is from RefSeq and is a predicted model, not a curated record. The transcript has 3 exons.
AGAGCACAUGUAUGCCUGGUGCCCAUGGAAGCCAAGAGAGGGCAUUGGAUCCCUUGGCACUGGAGUUACAGUUGGGAGCUGCCAUGUCAGUUUUGGGAAAUGAGUCUUUUACCUGUUGCCUGUUGUUUAGGUUGUUUUCAAUUUCAAUGUCUUGUAUAUACAGCUGUUGUGAACUGAAAUAAAUAAGUCUUUAAAAGAAAAUAUGUUCUCUUUCUCCAGGUUAUAUAUUUGGGGUUGUGAUGGCCAGAUGACAAUUAACAUAUGAAGAAAUUGAGAAAUACUUUUCCAAGUCUCUGUCCUGUUUUCCUUGGCCACCAGCAGUGGGUAUGAGAGUUUCAUCCUCCAGAGCCUUGCCAGGUCUUUGUAUGACAAGUCUUUAUUCCUGAAUAUUUUAUGGGGGUGUCGAGAGUCCCCUCAGAGUCACCUGUCUCUCUUCCCUAAGUGUUAAGGAUAUUGAUGCUGAAUGUUUCUCUUAGUGGAGCAUCUACUCACCCUUCUGGCCAAGUUUUAUUUCCUAAAUUGUCUAUUUUCUUAGUUUAUCUUUUUGAGGUUUUCUGUAUCCUUGAAACAAGAAAACUGUCAUCUGAUACAUAAUUUCCAACAUUCAUCUUCCCAGGCUAGAAGAGGGCACCAGACCUCUUUACAAAUGGUUGUGACCCACCAUGUGCUUGCCGGGAAUUGAACCUUUGGAAGAGAAGGCAGUGCUCUUAAACACUGAGCCAUCUCUCCAGGCCCUAGGACAUUCAAGAAACCUCAACCCAACUGACAGAGCCAAAAUUACCUGCAGAUAUGAUGCAACUAUUCCUAAAGACAUCUCAAAGUAAGUUUAAAAAUAAAAACAAAUAAACUAGAGUCUGGAGAUAUGGUU